This 525-nucleotide ribosomal RNA is filed under the name Lysobacteraceae bacterium. RNAcentral describes it as "bacterial SSU rRNA". It matches the Rfam family "Bacterial small subunit ribosomal RNA", at positions 899 to 1422 of the family's 1533-position model. The record is from RNAcentral. Lineage: Bacteria; Pseudomonadati; Pseudomonadota; Gammaproteobacteria; Lysobacterales; Lysobacteraceae.
ACUCAAAGGAAUUGACGGGGGCCCGCACAAGCGGUGGAGUAUGUGGUUUAAUUCGAUGCAACGCGAAGAACCUUACCUGGCCUUGACAUGUCUGGAAUCCUGCAGAGAUGCGGGAGUGCCUUCGGGAAUCAGAACACAGGUGCUGCAUGGCUGUCGUCAGCUCGUGUCGUGAGAUGUUGGGUUAAGUCCCGCAACGAGCGCAACCCUUGUCCUUAGUUGCCAGCACGUAAUGGUGGGAACUCUAAGGAGACUGCCGGUGACAAACCGGAGGAAGGUGGGGAUGACGUCAAGUCCUCAUGGCCCUUACGGCCAGGGCUACACACGUACUACAAUGGUCGGUACAGAGGGUUGCAAUACCGCGAGGUGGAGCCAAUCCCAGAAAGCCGAUCCCAGUCCGGAUCGGAGUCUGCAACUCGACUCCGUGAAGUCGGAAUCGCUAGUAAUCGCGGAUCAGCUAUGCCGCGGUGAAUACGUUCCCGGGCCUUGUACACACCGCCCGUCACACCAUGGGAGUGAGUUGCUCCA